This 11366-nucleotide long non-coding RNA is filed under the name Triticum aestivum (bread wheat). RNAcentral's name for it is "long non-coding RNA (TAES_LNC020551)". The record is from RNAcentral. Lineage: Eukaryota; Viridiplantae; Streptophyta; Magnoliopsida; Poales; Poaceae.
AAUCCCCCAGCCGCCGCCCGACAACCUUCCUCUUUUUCCUCGCGCAGCCAGUCAACUCCCUGCUUUCUUCCUUGGGAUCCUCCCAGAUCCAAAAAUCCCUUCCUCGUUUUCAGAUCCACCCAAUCCCUCCAUCGAUCCAACCAUAGCCCUCCGCUGCUCUGCUUCCCCUCGAUCCACCCGAGCUCCUCCUCUUGCGCCUCUGUGCUCGAUCCCCCUCGUCCUCGCCACUCCUUCGCAUGCGGCAAGCCGCCGCAGCACCAGAGCUCCCUCCGCCGUCGAGCACCACUAGCAGAUUAGCCUCGCGCCGCCCUUCCUCCCUUUCCCUCGCUCUUAUCUCUCCCUCACAUCUGGCUCCCUCUCUUUUUCCCUCGCAGAAGCCCGCCAUGGCGUACAGGAGGCUUCAGGCACCAGCAGCUCCAGUUCCGCGUCGGCUCCACCAUGGGAAUGGAUGGAUACGUCGUCUUUGACCUGAGGACCUCCUCAUACGUGCCUCUCCAUCAUCAUCUCCGCCACCAGAACGCACGGUAGCAACCUCCUGCCAUCGUCCGUCCUCACCGGUUUGAGCAGCCGGCGCAUCCGCCAUCGCUCGCUCGCUCUGCCGCCUACCGGAGCUCGCCUCCACCGACAGCAGCACCUCCCUUCGCCAAGUGCCGCCGUGACCCCGUCAUUUUCCAUCCCUGCCGAACCUGCUGUCGUCCCUGCCGCCAAGCUCUUCGCUUGCAGGGACGCACGGCGCGCCCGUUGACUGCUUGCUGGUCGGCACCCUCCUUCGCGCGUAGCACCGCGCCAGACGCUGAUCGCCUCUGCCCGGUUCCCCGCCACCAAGUCCAGCUCAGUGCCGCCGCGAGCCACCUUCUUCCUUGGAUCCUCGCCGCCCCAUCGCCCUGUUCGCCUCCUCUGCUUCGUUCGAGCAGGGAGGACGACGCAUGCUCCCUUCAUUGACCGCUUCCACUCCAGGAGCUGGGCCACCUCCCCUCGGCUCGUUGACCGACUUCCCAGAUCCGCGCCUGGGCCGCUUCUUGCAGCGAGGCCAAGAUCGACCGCGGCCCAGCCAGCGCCCUGCCGGCCCAGCCUCCCCUCCAGCCGCGGUGCUUCUGGCCUAUUGGGCCCAAUGUGAGCAGCACAACAGUUUCAGCUCACUCUUGUUUUUUUCCUCCAGCAUUUUUGCUAAUAACCAGUGUAUUACCGGUUUUUACAGAAAAACCCCUAGUCUUCAUGCAUAUAAUAACUUAUGAAUAAUGCUUCAUAUGUAAUAACCUUAUAUUUGAAACUUGACUAGAAUUUCAUCUAGUUUCAUAAUAUGUCAUUUCCAUCCAUGUUUAAAAUGCUUAAAAUGUUGUUUGUUAAAUUUGCUCAAAUAACUUGUUAAAAUGUUUUAAUUCAUAACUAAAUAGCCGUAUCUCGGUUUCUAAUAAAUUUUAUAUGUAAAUGGGGUGGGAAAAUGCCUAGUUUAUCAUGGUGUAUUUGUUUUGCAUGUUUAACAACCCUAAAAUUGUGUUUAGAACAGAUCAGUACCAAAUCUAUAAUAUGCUCAUGAGGAGUUUCCGGACUUGUUGUUCGUUGUUUCCGGCCUCAUUUAAACUUGCCUAGAUAGGUAGUUUUGUUGUGCUUCACCUCUUGCCAUGCUAACAACAUUUAAUCUUGUUGGCUACCUAAACGAGAGAGAACUAAAUAAGUCAUGUGGUGUUUUCUUCAAUAUGCAACUCCGUUGCAUAUUGAGCUUGACUUAAUUUGUAGGGUUGCUUGUGCACCUUGCCAUGCCAUGCUUCAUUAAACCGGACAUGCAUCAUACUUGAUUGUGCAUCAUGCCAUGUUUAUGUGGUGGCUGUUUACCAUGAUUGUUUGCUUCUUUCCGGUGUUGCUUCUUCAGGUUGGUUCCGAUAACGUCACAUUUGUGAGGACCCUUUUGACUACGUCCGUUUGUCUUCUUCAUGGACUCAUUCUUCUUCCUAUCGGGAUUUCAGGCAAGAUGAUCAUACCCUCGAAAUCACUUCUAUCUUUGCUUGCUAGAUGCUCGCUCUUUUGCUAUGCCUAUGCUGCGAUACCUACCACUUUCUUAUCAUGCCUCCUAUAUUUUUGAACCAAGCCCCUAAACCACCUUGUCCUAGCAAACCGUUGAUUGGCUAUGUUACCGCUUUGCUCAGCCCCCCUUAUAGCAUUGUUAGUUGCAGGUGAAGAUUGAAGUUUUGUUCCUUGUUGGAACAUGUUUUACUUGUUGGGAUAUCACAAUAUAUCUUAUUUAAUUAAUGCAUCUAUAUACUUGGUAAAGGGUGGAAGGCUCGGCCUUAUGCCUGGUGUUUUGUUCCACUCUUGCCGCCCUAGUUUCCGUCAUAUCACUGUUAUGUUCCCGGAUUUUGUGUUCCUUACGCGGUUGGGUAAUAAUGGGAACCCCUUGACAGUUCGCCCUGAAUAAAACUCUUCCAGCAAUGCCCAACAUUGGUUUUACCAUUCGCCACCUAGCCUUUUCCUUUCCCUUGGGGGUCACGCGCCCAAGGGUCAUCAUUAUUUUAACCCCCCGGGACAGUGCUCCUCUGAGUGUUGGUCCAAAACAGAGCCACUUGCAGCGCCACCUCGGGGCAACUCGAGGUUUGGUUUUAGUUGUACGUAGUGUUCAUCCGGUGUGCCCCGAGAACGAGAUAUGUGCAGCUCCUAUCGGGAUUUGUCGGCACAUUCGGGCGGUGUUGCUGAACUUGUUUUACCAUUGUCGAAAUGUCUUGUAACUGGGAUUCCGAGUCUGAUCGGGUCUUCCCGCUAGAAGGAAUAUCCUUCGUUGACCGUGAGAGCUUGUGAUGGGCUAAGUUGGGACACCCCUGCAGGGUUUUGAACUUUCGAAAGCCAUGCCCGCGGUUAUGGGCAGAUGGGAAUUUGUUAACGUCCGGUUGUAGAAAAACGGAAGUUGACCUUAAUUAAAAAUGCAUCAACCGUGUGUGUAACCGUGAUGGUCUCUUUCCGGCGGAGUCCGGGAAGUGAACACGGUGUUGGAGUAAUGCUUGAUGUAGGUUGUUCUAGGAUCACUUCUUGAUCAUAGUUUCUCGAUCGUGCUUUGCCUUCUCUUCUCGCUCUCUUUUGCGAAUAGGUUAGCCACCAUAGAUGCUAGUCGCUUACUGCAGCUCCACCUCAUACCUUUACCUUACCUAUAAGCUUAAAUAAUCUUGAUCAUGAGGGUGCGAGAUUGCUGAGUCCCCGUGGCUCACAGAUUACUUCAAAAACCAGUUUGCAGGUGCCGAUGAGUCCGUGCAGAUGACACAACCAAGCUCAAGGAGGAGCUCGAUGAAGAUCUUGUCCUUUGUGUUGUUUCGUUCUAGUUGAUCAGUAGUGGAGCCCAGUUGGGGUCGAUUGGGGACCUUGUCGCGUUUGGGGUUCUUCUUUUAUGUUGGUUCCGUUGUCGGACCUUGAUUGUAUUUGAUUGUUGUAAUGCUUUAUUCAUGAAAUUGUGUGAAGUGGCGAUUGUAAGCCAACUAUGUAUCUUUUCCCUUAUUGUAUUACAUGGGUUGUUUGCGAAGAUUACCUCACUUGCAGCAUUGCUUUCAAUGUGGUUAUGCCUCUAAGUCGUGCUUCAACACGUGGGAGAUAUAGCCGCAUCGAGGGUGUUACAAGUUGCUAUCAGAGCCUUCCCCGACCUUAGGAGCCCCAUUGCUUGAUCAUUAUUAGCAGCCGUUGUUGAGUCUAGAAAUUUUUUUUUGAGUCAUUUAGGAAUUAUAUAUCAGAGAGUUUAGGAAUUCUUUUUACUCCCCAGUCCCUUCAUCGCUCUGGUAAGGCAUCCCGACGUAGAGUUUUAUCUCUUCUCUUCUGAAAUUUCACUAUUUUUUUAGGAUCACGCGGGUAUCUUAGAAUCGUUCUGAUUGAUUUGUGGCGAGAACAUUGUUCUUGGUGCCUCCUAUCAUUUAGGGGUUGUGGCAGUGUCCCGGGGAGUUGAGCUCCGAGGUGUUGUCGUCACAAUUUUAUCGUUGCAGUUCUGGAAUACCUGAGUUUAGUUUCCGACAUUGAAAAUCUCUUUUAUGCAAUUGUUGGUGAGAAAACCUCGACGCCACCCAGUACUGGGGCGGGAGUUCGGGAGUAUUGCCAUAACUCGUAUAACGGAUGCUUUUCGAAGGUUGAGGUAGAUGAUUUCCGAAGGUUUUUUGGUUAUGUGUUGAAGGAUGGAUACAGCUGGAUGUAGGAAUUGCUAGUUUUGGGUGAGAUAUUAUGCUUCCCCUGUAUCCCCAACACCUGAUUGCAUAACUGGGAAAGUUUCGGGAGUUUAUAAGUGGGAAUUCAAGUAGCUCUUAGGAUAUCUUUCCGAUAGAUGUAUGAUAUGAAAUUGGGGUUCGAAGUCUAGUGGUCCGCCUAUUCACGGUCGGUUUUACAGUGGUCUCGUUGUGUCUUAAAGAGUCCUUGGCUAUGCCGACUCGGGGACGCUUCGUAUGUCAUGUGCACUGCCUUGUACAUGAUGGUGCUGUACAAUCGAGCCCGUGUAGGUCCCACCAUGAAAACUUCAGACGAAAUCUCUAUCAUAUGUUUGUUCCGGCUUAUUUUGCAAGCCAAUCCUUUGUUUUUGUUUUGAGUUGUGGUAUUCGAGUUGCUUCGAAGUCAAAUGUUGAUUCCAUACCUUCUCUAAACGGUGUGCUCAUAUUCCUAUGUGAAUACUAAUCAUUCUUGAUCAUCGAGAUUGUCUUGCCAAUCCUUUUCAACCGGUGUGUUUUUCUCUUCAAGCGGAUCCAUUCAUUUUCAACAUCCGCAAGAUUCAAUCUCAGCUUUCUCAACGUUGUUCAUUUCAUCCAUCCCAAGUCGUCUUUGUUUUCCCACCCACCCACCCUUUUUCUUCAAGGACUUAGAUUUCUUAAUCGAGUAUCCAUCUUAUGGAUGUGAAGCCUCUCCAUUCUUUUCCGUCAAUAUUCUUAUCCGGUGAUUCUCAUGAAGAUUCUAACGGAGCUUCUAGUUCGUCAUUCCUCUUUUUUUCUCCGGUGGAACCAAUUCAAGCUUUGUUGAUCAUAUUCUUUCCUCGUUUCAAAUACCACCUCAUGCCAGUGCAGCUCAUUAUCAUCCACUUCUCGCUAUUCAAUUGUUCAAGAGUGCCCAAGAUAUCUUGGAGAUUCGUGUUUCCACUCUCCUUUCAUUCCAGCUUUUGCGAGGAUGUUACCUCAUUCAAGUCAUUUAUUUCAACCGGCGCAAUCUCUCACUUUAAAUCUUUUUAACGGUGUUCUUUUGAGUGGGCCCUAACCCACAGGUCUUUUCCCAGGAUCUUACCUGACUCUUCUUAUUUUCCCGGAGCUAUCCUCAAAUUCUUUUAAAGUUUGACGUAAGAAUGAUUCAUCAUCUGUCAUAUGUUUUUCUCCAAGAUCUUUCAAAUUCUUUUCAUCGUUGGCUCAAUCUCUUCGCUUUUGAUUCUUCCGGAGCGUCUAAAUAAUUCAUGAUGGUGUUUCUCGUCGUCUUUCUCAACAUUUGAAGACCAAAGAAGAGUUUCCCUCCAUAUCUUGCUUCAUUCUCUUCAAGAUUGGUGAUUCUAGCUUGUUGCCUUCCUCUCAUAAUUGUUUUGAUUGUGAGAAUCCUUUUCACCCAUCCGGAGCAAUUCAGGAGUCUUUUCAAUUGGAUUUCAUGGAGCCCAUCAUCAAAGAAGAUUUAUUCAUUCUUAGUUCUUGCUCUCCAAAUCUUACCGGUGCAUCAUUCAAGUGAUCUCUAAUCAGUUUGUGAUCCCUUCAUUCCCAUGGAUCUAAACCCUCUCAAGCAUCUUCAUUCAUUUGCUAAUUCUUCCCGGUGUUCCUUUAUCUUUCCUUCGGUCAUUGUAAUUCUUACGGUGGUUCGUGCAAGAGUUCUCGUCAUUCGUUAUCGUAUAUAUUCAUUCAUUCUUCUCAAUCCUACCAGUGACUUGUUGAAGACUUUCUCAAGUUAUGCUAUAUCUAUCUUAAUCCUUUCUACGAGAAUAAGUAGUGUGCCAAAUCCGUUGCUUGUCAUCAAUCUAAAUUGGUGAAGGAUAAGCAUAAUGUAAUUCUUAUUCUUGUUUCAUCCAAGUGAUUAAAUCCUUAUUUCGGAGGCUCAUCAAAUUCCUGAUUUCAAUUGUUUCAUCUUCUCUUUUUCCUGGAGUUCCAACCUUUUUCAAUUAUGUCACCACGGAGAUUCAUCUAAAUUGGUACAAGGAUUCACCUUGUGUUUUCAACUUCUCUUUCUUUUCAUUCCUUUGUUUACCGGAGUUCUUCAUGGAGGUUCUACAUGAUGGUUCAUCAAGGAUUUAUUUCCUUCUCGAAGUGUUCAUUGAGAUUCUUUUCAAAGGAGUUCAAGCUUUCUUCAUCUUGCUAUCCGGAGUGCAAUUCCUUCUACCGUAUCAUUUGAGGUGGUGUUGUGUCAUUCUUGAUAAUUUGAGUUCAUGUCUCAUGAUUCACAUGCUGUUAAGAAUGAGUUAUUUAAAAUCCAUCAAUCUCUUCAUUGGAGUUAUCUUGGGUUAUAUUUCACCUAAAACUUUCCCUAAGGAAUGUUGCUAAUUAUGGUGCUUAUAAAGGACCCAAGUUCUUCUUUAUCCUCCUGGUGAAAUACUUUCUCAUCUCCUUGUUCAUAUCAAUCCAAUUUAUCGUUUCCGUCAGUGGCUGGUUGUCACCUCAUAAUCUUGAGAUGUUUUGCCCAUAAGCCCAAAACUACCUUACUCUUUGCGUGGUUGGAUUUCCGACAACUCCGUUCGACCCUUCUCCUAAGGAUGCAUCUUCAAGAUCUUUUGUGGCAGAAGUUGGCAUUUUCUUCUCAAUUCUCCUAUGGCAAUUAUCUAUCUUCUAUUCUUUUGUUCCGGAGGCAUUGCGAUGUUGCUUUCUUCAACCAUCAUCUCGUUUCAUCAAAGAUCAUGUUCUUUUCAUGCCUAUUCCAUUUAACCAGGGUGUUGUGCCCCUUUGCUCAAAUCCUUUUUCAUCCUAUCAAGCCUUGUAUCUCUUUUCAACCGGAGUGCUAUAAGAAAUUGUUCUUCCUUGUUCCUCUUUCCUAACGGAGGUUUUUUUCAACUUUGUUCAUUCUCCGUUGCUUUCUUUAUUUCAUUUUGCUCAACCUUGCAAGGUUCUUUGGUCUCACUUGUUUUUCAAAGAAGCAACUUAGCCUUACCUCUUCUCUUUCUCUUCCGUUGUCCCUCCGAUGCCGUUCUAGAUCUCGAGACGAGAUCCUCUCAUAGUGGUGGAGUGUUGUAACUCCCCGAGACCGAUGUGCCAGGUGUCCUUCGUUUAUUUGCUGUUGUUGUGUUGUCAUUGCUUGCGUGUCAUGCAUUGCAUAUCAUGUCAUCAUGUGCAUUGCAUCAUCAUGUUUUCAAAACUUGCAUCCGUCCCGGUCUCCUCAUUCCUUCCGUUGUCUGUUCUGAGCCCAGACACACUUGCACGCGCCCGUGGCAUGUCUGAAAUAUUAUUUUAUAAGUGGCCAGAAAAUGUUCUCGGAAUGGGUUGAAAGUUGGUAUGCAGUGUUGUUUUGUUGUAGGUAGGCUGCCUGCCAAGCUUCAUCGCAUUCGGAGUUCGUUUGAUGCCCCAACUAUUAACUAUAGCGACAAUAUAGUCGGUCAAACGUCGGACGUUUUCGGUCUACAAAAACAGUCGCCGGGCCUCUCUUUUCUCUUCUCUCAGCUCGAGACCGUCUACACAAUCCACUACCUACCGUCAGGUCCAACCUAACCUCUCUCGUCAGCCCGCAGCCCCCCUCGCGCGUGUCCGAAAAUUGUCCCGAACCCGACCCGGACUAUCGCCACCGUUGUGUCCGGAUCAUCCCCAAACAUCUACAAAACAUCUCCUUUUUCCUAUAUGGUCUUCCUAUCUUUUAUUUCUCGACCGUCCGAUAAAAAUCCGAGGGACCAAAUACCCCUAACCAAAAUCCUCGUUGCUAUAUAAAUAGAUGGAACCCUAGCCUUGUCCCAUCCAUCCACCGAAUCCCUCAGCCGUCGCCGCCGGACAACCUCCCUCUUUUUCCUCGCGUAGCCAGUCAACUCCCUGCUUUCUUCCUUGGGAUCAUCCCCGAUCAUAAAAUCCCUUCCUCGUUUUCAGAUCCACCCAAUCCCUCCAUCGAUCCAACCAUAGCCCUCCGCUGCUCUGCUUCCCCUCGAUCCACCUGAGCUCCUCCUCUUGUGCCUCUGUGCUCGAUCCCCCUCGUCCUCGCCACUCCUUCGCGUGCGGCAAGCCGCCGUAGCACCGGAGCUCCCUCCGCCGUCGAGCACCACCAGCAGAUGAGCCUCACGCCGCCCUUCCUCCCUUUCCCUCGCUCUUAUCUCUCCCUCACAUCUGGCUCCCUCUCUUUUUCCCUCGCAGAAGACCGCCAUGGCAUCCAGGAGGCUUCAGGCACCAGCAGCUCCGGUUCCGCGUCGGCUCCACCAUGGGAAUGGACGGAUACGUCAUCCUUGACCCCAGGACCUCCUCCUACGUGGCUCUCCAUCAUCAUCUCCGCCGCCAGAACGCACGAUAGCAACCUCCUGCCAUGGAUCCGAUGCCCCUUCGCCCGUCCUCGCCGGUUUGAGCAGCCGACGAAUCCGCCAUCGCCCGCUCGCUCUGCCGCCUACCGGAGCUCGCCUCCACCGACAGCAGCACCUCCCUUCGCCAAGCGCCGCCGUGACCCCGUCGUUUUCCAUCCCUGUCGAACCUGCUGUCGUCCCUGCCGACAAGCUCUUCGCCUGCAGGGACGCACAGCGCGCCCGUUGACUGCUCGCUGGUCGGCACCCUCCUUCGCAAGUAGCACCGCGCCAGACGCCGAUCGCCUCUGCCCGGUUCCCCGCCACCAAGUCCAGCUCAGCACCGCCGCGAGCCGCCUCCUUCCUUGGAUCCUCGCCGCCCCGUCGCCCUGUUCGCCUCCUCUGCUUUGUUCGAUCAGGCAGGACGACGCAUGCUCCCUUCGUUGACCACUUCCACUCCAGGAGCUGGGCCACCUCCCCUCGGCUCGUUGACCGACUGCCCAGAUCCACGCCUGGGCCACUUCUUGCAGCGAGGCCAAGAUCGACCGCGGCCCAGCCAGCGCCCUGCCGGCCCAGCCUCCCCUCCAGCUGCGGUGCUUCUGGCCUGUUGGGCCCAAUGUGAGCAGCGCAACAGUUUCAGCUCACUCUUGUUUUUUUUCCUCCAGCAUUUUUGCUAAUAACCAGUGUAUUACCGGUUUUACAGAAAAACCCCUAGUCUUUAUGCAUAUAAUAACUUAUGAAUAAUGCUUCAUACGUAAUAACCUUAUAUUUGAAACUUGACUAGAAUUUCAUCUAGUUUCAUAAUAUGUCAUUUCCAUCCAUGUUUAAAAUGCUUAAAAUGUUGUUUGUUUAAAUUUGCUCAAAUAACUUGUUAAAAUGUUUUAAUUCAUAACUAAAUAACCGUAGCUUGGUUUCUAAUAAAUUUUAUAUGUAAAUGGGGUGGGAAAAUGCCUAGUUUAUCAUGGUGUACUUGUUUCGCAUGUUUAACAAUCCUAAAAUUGUGUUUAGAACAGAUCAGUACCAAAAUCUAUAAUAUGCUCAUGAGGAGUUUCCGGACUUGUUGUUCAUUGUUUCCGGCCUCACUUAAACUUGCCUAGAUAGGUAGUUUUGUUGUGCUUCACCUCUUGCCAUGCUAAAUAAAUUUAAUCUUGUUGGGUACCUAAACGAGAGAGAACUAAAUAAGUCAUGUGGUGUUUUCUUCAAUAUGCAACUCCGUUGCAUAUUGAGCUCCACUUAAUUUGUAGGGUUGCUUGUGCACCUUACCAUGCCAUGCUUCAUUAAACCGGACAUGCAUCAUACUUGAUUGUGCAUCAUGCCAUGUUUAUGUGGUGGUUGUUUACCAUGAUUGUUUGCUUCUUUCCGGUGUCGCUUCUUCGGGUUGGUUCCGAUAACGUCGCGUUUGUGAGGACCCAUUCGACUACGCCUGUUUGUCUUCUUCAUGGACUCGUUCUUCUUCCUAUCGGGAUUUCAGGCAAGAUGAUCAUACCCUCGAAAUCACUUCUAUCUUUGCUUGCUAGAUGCUCGCUCUUUUGCUAUGCCUAUGCUGCGAUACCUAUCACUUGCUUAUCAUGCCUCCUAUAUUGUUGAACCAAGCCCCUAACCCACCUUAUCCUAGCAAACCGUUGAUUGGCUAUGUUACCGCUUUGCUCAGCCCCUCUUAUAGCGUUGUUAGUUGCAGGUGAAGAUUGAAGUUUUGUUCCUUGUUGGAACAUGGAGAUGUUGUUCCUUGUUGGAACAUGUUUUACUUGUUGGGAUAUCACAAUAUAUCUUAUUUAAUUAAUGCAUCUAUAUACUUGGUAAAGGGUGGAAGGCUCGGCCUUAUGCCUGGUGUUUUGUUCCACUAUUGCCGCCCUAGUUUCCAUCAUAUCGCUGUUAUGUUCCCGGAUUUUGCGUUCCUUACGCGGUUGGGUAAUAAUGGGAACCCCUUGACAGUUCGCCCUGAAUAAAACUCUUCCAACAAUGCCCAACAUUGGUUUUACCAUUCGCCACCUAGCCUUUUCUUUUCCCUUGGGGGUCGCGCGCCCAAGGGUCAUCAUUAUUUUAACCCCCCGGGCCAGUGCUCCUCUGAGUGUUGGUCCAAAACAGAGCCACUUGCAGCACCACCUCGGGGUAACUCGAGGUUUGGUUUUAGUUGUACGUAUUGUUCAUCCGGUGUGCCCUGAGAACGAGAUAUGUGUAGCUCCUAUCAUGGGUGUUGCUGGACUUGUUUUACCAUUGUCGAAAUGUCUUGUAACCGGGAUUCCGAGUCUGAUCGGGUCUUCCUGCUAGGAGGAAUAUCCUUCAUUGACCGUGAGAGCUUGUGAUAGGCUAAGUUGGGACACCCCUGUAGGGUUUUGAACUUUCAAAAGCCGUGCCCGCGGUUAUGGGCAGAUGGGAAUUUGUUAACGUCCGGUUGUAGAAAACCUGAAGUUGACCUUAAUUAAAAAAUGCAUCAACCACGUGUGUAACCGUGAUGGUCUCUUUCCGGUGGAGUCCGGGAAGUGAACACGGUGUUGGAGUAAUGCUUGACGUAGGUUGUUCUAGGAUCACUUCUUGAUCGUAGUUUCUUGAUCGUGCUUUUCCUUCUCUUCUCGCUCUCUUUUGCGAAUAGGUUAGCCACCAUAUAUGCUAGUCGCUUGCUGCAGCUCUACCUCAUACCUUUACCUUACCUAUAAGCUUAAAUAGUCUUGAUCGUGAGGGUGCGAGAUUGCUGAGUCCCUGUGGCUCACAGAUUACUUCAAAAACCAGUUUGCAGGUGCCGAUGAGUCCGUGAAGAUGACACAACCAAGCUCAAGGAGGAGCUCGAUGAAGAUCUUGUCCUUUGUGUUGUUUCGUUCUAGUUGAUAAGUAGUGGAGCCCAGUUGGAGUCGAUCGGGGACCUUGUCGCAUUUGGGGUUCUUCUUUUAUUUUGGUUCCGUAGUCGGACCUUGAUUGUAUUUGAUUGUUGUAAUGCUUUAUUCAUGAAAUUGUGUGAAGUGGCGAUUGUAAGCCAACUAUGUAUUUUUUCCCUUAU